This 198-nucleotide long non-coding RNA is filed under the name Fukomys damarensis (Damara mole-rat). Its description in RNAcentral is "lncRNA (ENSFDAG00000024393.1)". Lineage: Eukaryota; Metazoa; Chordata; Mammalia; Rodentia; Bathyergidae. The record is from RNAcentral.
AAACUCCUGAUCGGGCCAGUCCUUAGACCAACUCUGCAGAGGCAUAGGUUCCCAUGAAGGGUAGUUUUCUGAGCUCCGAACUUUGAUCAUCUUUAAAGAAAGGGCAGGGGAAACCUGUAAUAGAACGGAGUGGAGUUCAACCCUGAGGCACCAUCUCUCCAGGGCACAGUCAGACUCUGAUUUAACCUGGUAAUGAAG